CCUACGGGAGGCAGCAGUGAGGAAUAUUGGUCAAUGGGCUUACGCCUGAACCAGCCAAGUCGCGUGAGGGAAGACUGCCCUAUGGGUCGUAAACCUCUUUUGUCAGGGAGCAAUUGGCGCUACGUGUACCGUCCUCGAGAGUACCUGAAGAAAAAGCAUCGGCUAACUCCGUGCCAGCAGCCGCGGUAAUACGGAGGAUGCGAGCGUUAUCCGGAUUUAUUGGGUUUAAAGGGUGCGUAGGCGGGAUGCCAAGUCAGCGGUAAAAUCGCGGGGCUCAACCCCGCUCGGCCGUUGAAACUGGCGGUCUUGAGUGGGCGAGAAGAAGGCGGAAUGCGUGGUGUAGCGGUGAAAUGCAUAGAUAUCACGCAGAACUCCGAUUGCGAAGGCAGCAUACCGGCGCGCAACUGACGCUGAGGCACGAAAGCGUGGGUAUCGAACAGGAUUAGAUACCCGAGUAGUC
RNAcentral lists this ribosomal RNA (460 nucleotides) under uncultured bacterium. Its description in RNAcentral is "partial 16S ribosomal RNA". It matches the Rfam family "Bacterial small subunit ribosomal RNA", at positions 338 to 795 of the family's 1533-position model. The record is from RNAcentral.